AACGCACCUUGCGCUCCUUGGUAUUCCGAGGAGCAUGCCUGUUUGAGUGUCAUGAAAUCUUCAACCUAUAAGCUUUUGUGGUUUGUAGGCUUGGACUUGGAGGCUUGUCGGCCUUGAUCGGUCGGCUCCUCUUAAAUGCAUUAGCUUGAUUCCUUGCGGAUCGGCUCUCGGUGUGAUAAUAUCUACGCCGCGACCGUGAAGCGUUUGGCGAGCUUCUAACCGUCUCACUUGAAAGACAACUUUAUGACCUCUGACCUCAAAUCAGGUAGGACUACCCGCUGAACUUAA
This 288-nucleotide unclassified non-coding RNA is filed under the name uncultured Ganoderma. RNAcentral describes it as "sequence contains ITS2". The stretch from base 1 to 52 matches the Rfam family "5.8S ribosomal RNA", at positions 103 to 154 of the family's 154-position model. Lineage: Eukaryota; Fungi; Basidiomycota; Agaricomycetes; Polyporales; Polyporaceae. The record is from RNAcentral.